AACGAACGCUGGCGGCAUGCCUAACACAUGCAAGUCGAACGAAACCUUCGGGUCUAGUGUCGCACGGGUGCGUAACGCGUGGGAACCUGCCCUUAUGUUCGGAAUAACUCCCCGAAAGGGGUGCUAAUACCGGAUAAUGUCUUCGGACCAAAGAUUUAUCGCCUUUGGAUGGGCCCGCGUUGGAUUAGCUAGUUGGUAGGGUAAAAGCCUACCAAGGCGACGAUCCAUAGCUGGUCUGAGAGGAUGAUCAGCCACACUGGGACUGAGACACGGCCCAGACUCCUACGCGAGGCAGCAGUGGGGAAUAUUGGACCAUGGGCGAAAGCCUGAUCCAGCAAUGCCGCGUGAGUGAUGAAGGCAUUAGGGUUGUAAAGCUCUUUUACCCGGGAUGAUAAUGACAGUACCGGGAGAAUAAGCUCCGGCUAACUCCGUG
Molecule: ribosomal RNA, 433 nt
Filed under: uncultured bacterium
Lineage: Bacteria
Description: partial 16S ribosomal RNA
Rfam family: Bacterial small subunit ribosomal RNA
Source: RNAcentral